This 371-nucleotide ribosomal RNA is filed under the name uncultured organism. Its description in RNAcentral is "partial 16S ribosomal RNA". It matches the Rfam family "Bacterial small subunit ribosomal RNA", at positions 527 to 896 of the family's 1533-position model. The record is from RNAcentral.
GUAGGUGGCAAGCGUUGUCCGGAAUUAUUGGGCGUAAAGCGCGCGCAGGCGGUUCUUUAAGUCUGAUGUGAAAGCCCACGGCUCAACCGUGGAGGGUCAUUGGAAACUGGAGAACUUGAGUACAGAAGAGGAAAGCGGAAUUCCACGUGUAGCGGUGAAAUGCGUAGAGAUGUGGAGGAACACCAGUGGCGAAGGCGGCUUUCUGGUCUGUAACUGACGCUGAGGCGCGAAAGCGUGGGGAGCAAACAGGGAUUAGAUACCCUGGUAGUCCACGCCGUAAACGAUGAGUGCUAAGUGUUACGGGGGUUUCCGCCCCUUAGUGCUGCAGCUAACGCAUUAAGCACUCGGCCUGGGGAUACGGCGCAAGGCUG